Molecule: ribosomal RNA, 253 nt
Filed under: uncultured prokaryote
Description: partial 16S ribosomal RNA
Rfam family: Bacterial small subunit ribosomal RNA
Source: RNAcentral
ACGAACCACACAAACGUUAUUCGGAAUUACUGGGCUUAAAGGGUGCGUAGGCGGUGCAGAAAGUUGGGUGUGAAAUCCCUCGGCUCAACCGAGGAACUGCGCCCAAAACUACUGUGCUUGAGGAAGAUAGAGGUAAGCGGAACUUACGGUGGAGCGGUGAAAUGCGUUGAUAUCGUAAGGAACACCUGUGGCGAAAGCGGCUUACUGGGUCUUUUCUGACGCUGAUGCACGAAAGCUAGGGGAGCAAACAGGA